This is a long non-coding RNA of Humulus lupulus (European hop), 931 nucleotides long. RefSeq lists it as uncharacterized. The transcript is spliced from 4 exons. The record is from RefSeq and is a predicted model, not a curated record. Lineage: Eukaryota; Viridiplantae; Streptophyta; Magnoliopsida; Rosales; Cannabaceae.
GAAAAUUAAAUCUUUCCUUAUUAGUGUGGUGUGCCAAAGAAAGAAUGAGAGAAAUUAGUGCGCUGCCAAUUAUCAAAGGGAUUGAUUGGCUUAGUAUAAUUAUUAAUUGAUUUUAUUUUUGAUUUAUGGAAAAUAAAGGGAAAUGAUAAUUAUCUUUUCCUUAGCUAGGUUUUGGUAAUUGGGACAUUUUAAUAGAAUUAAGAAAGAGCUUGAAGACUCAUUUGGCUUGGUGGCUGUCAUGUGCCUAGAGAGAGAAGGAGAUAGAGUGGGCAUGAGAUAGAGAGAGAAACAAAGGAAGAGAGAAGAAGAAGAAGAAGAAGAGAAUAAAGGAUUCAAUCCUAGGUUUGUUCGUGCUUUCGUGUCGUGCCUUCGAGCUUGUCGUGUCGUGCCGUGCUAAGCCCGUGUCGUGUCGUGCCUGGCCCAAGCCCAUAUUUUUUCGUGUCGUGUUGUGCUCGUGCCUCCCGGGCUCGUGCCGGUUUCGUGCCGUGCUCAAAAGCCCGGCCCGUAUUUACAGCUCUACGUCCAACAGUGGCAACGACAUCGUAUUCCCUAUAGCGACGACAUGUCAUCGCUAUAGGUCCCAGCGAUAUAACUCCCCAGGCAGAGCCUUUCUUCCUCAUUUCUGGUCAUUUUUUCCCAAAACAGAGACGAUUUCUCUGUUUUCCUCCGCCUCCCAGCGCUGCCUAGAGCCAUUUUUGGCCCCCUUUUGUUAAGGUGGCUUAGUUUGCUGGUAUAUUUGUCCAUUUAGCUGACUGAUUUAUUGCACUUUUUUGUUGUGUUUUCGGAACGGUCAACCCCAAAAGUUAAUGAGGUGAGAAAAAAGGCCAAGCUCUUGAAGCAUGUUCAAAAGAACUUGUGACAGAAGACAAACAUGGUUUGGUCAUUGAUUAGCCAAAACAAGACAAAAAAAAAUAAAGUGUUCUCAUUAAAG